GACGAACGCUGGCGGCGUGCUUAACACAUGCAAGUCGAACGAUGAAGCGGUGCUUGCACCGUGGAUUAGUGGCGAACGGGUGAGUAAUACGUGAGUGACCUACCUUUGACUCUGGGAUAAGCCUGGGAAACUGGGUCUAAUACCGGAUACGACCAAUCUCUGCAUGGGGUGUUGGUGGAAAGCGUUAUGGAGUGGUUUUAGAUGGGCUCACGGCCUAUCAGCUUGUUGGUGAGGUAAUGGCUUACCAAGGCGACGACGGGUAGCCGGCCUGAGAGGGUGACCGGCCACACUGGGACUGAGACACGGCCCAGACUCCUACGGGAGGCAGCAGUGGGGAAUAUUGCACAAUGGGCGCAAGCCUGAUGCAGCGACGCCGCGUGAGGGGUGACGGCCUUCGGGUUGUAAACCUCUGUUAGCAUCGAAGAAGCGAAAGUGACGGUAGGUGCAGAGAAAGCGCCGGCUAACUACGUG
This 471-nucleotide ribosomal RNA is filed under the name uncultured bacterium. RNAcentral's name for it is "partial 16S ribosomal RNA". It matches the Rfam family "Bacterial small subunit ribosomal RNA", at positions 28 to 507 of the family's 1533-position model. The record is from RNAcentral.